AGUGAACGCUGGCGGUAGGCCUAACACAUGCAAGUCGAACGGCAGCACAGUAAGAGCUUGCUCUUACGGGUGGCGAGUGGCGGACGGGUGAGGAAUACAUCGGAAUCUACUUUUUUGUGGGGGAUAACGUAGGGAAACUUACGCUAAUAUCGCAUACGACCUACGGGUGAAAGCAGGGGAUCUUCGGACCUUGCGCGAUUGAAUGAGCCGAUGUCGGAUUAGCUAGUUGGCGGGGUAAAGGCCCACCAAGGCGACGAUCCGUAGCUGGUCUGAGAGGAUGAUCAGCCACACUGGAACUGAGACACGGUCCAGACUCCUACGGGAGGCAGCAGUGGGGAAUAUUGGACAAUGGGCGCAAGCCUGAUCCAGCCAUACCGCGUGGGUGAAGAAGGCCUUCGGGUUGUAAAGCCCUUUUGUUGGGAAAGAAAAGCAGCAGGUUAAUACCCCGCUGUUCUGACGGUACCCAAAGAAUAAGCACCGGCUAACUUCGUGC
RNAcentral lists this ribosomal RNA (493 nucleotides) under uncultured bacterium. RNAcentral describes it as "partial 16S ribosomal RNA". It matches the Rfam family "Bacterial small subunit ribosomal RNA", at positions 29 to 508 of the family's 1533-position model. The record is from RNAcentral.